RNAcentral lists this ribosomal RNA (890 nucleotides) under uncultured bacterium. RNAcentral describes it as "bacterial SSU rRNA". It matches the Rfam family "Bacterial small subunit ribosomal RNA", at positions 1 to 885 of the family's 1533-position model. The record is from RNAcentral.
UAGAGUUUGAUCCUGGCUCACAUUGAACGCUGGCGGCAGGCCUAACACAUGCAAGUCGAGCGGUAACACAGGGAGCUUGCUCCUGGGUGACGAGCGGCGGACGGGUGAGUAAUGUCUGGGAAACUGCCUGAUGGAGGGGGAUAACUACUGGAAACGGUAGCUAAUACCGCAUAACGUCGCAAGACCAAAGAGGGGGACCUUCGGGCCUCUUGCCAUCAGAUGUGCCCAGAUGGGAUUAGCUAGUAGGUGGGGUAAUGGCUCACCUAGGCGACGAUCCCUAGCUGGUCUGAGAGGAUGACCAGCCACACUGGAACUGAGACACGGUCCAGACUCCUACGGGAGGCAGUAGUGGGGAAUAUUGCACAAUGGGCGCAAGCCUGAUGCAGCCAUGCCGCGUGUAUGAAGAAGGCCUUCGGGUUGUAAAGUACUUUCAGCGAGGAGGAAGGCAUUAAGGUUAAUAACCUUGGUGAUUGACGUUACUCGCAGAAGAAGCACCGGCUAACUCCGUGCCAGCAGCCGCGGUAAUACGGAGGGUGCAAGCGUUAAUCGGAAUUACUGGGCGUAAAGCGCACGCAGGCGGUCUGUCAAGUCGGAUGUGAAAUCCCCGGGCUCAACCUGGGAACUGCAUUCGAAACUGGCAGGCUAGAGUCUUGUAGAGGGGGGUAGAAUUCCAGGUGUAGCGGUGAAAUGCGUAGAGAUCUGGAGGAAUACCGGUGGCGAAGGCGGCCCCCUGGACAAAGACUGACGCUCAGGUGCGAAAGCGUGGGGAGCAAACAGGAUUAGAUACCCCUGGUAGUCCACGCCGUAAACGAUGUCGACUUGGAGGCUGUUCCCUUGAGGAGUGGCUUCCGGAGCUAACGCGUUAAGUCGACCGCCUGGGGGGAGUACGG